GGAAACCUUAGACUCACCAGCGGUAAAAGGCCAGCGCCGCAUCCUCUUCGCUCGAUCCUCUCCUCUCGUCCCCGCCGCCCGCUCCUCCUGCCCUCCUCCACCACCGACACCUCCGACCGCCAUCGCGGCCAGCAGCCCCAGCAGUCGAACCACCACAGCAAGCGCAAGAAGAAGCCUCAGGCGCCGCCCCCACUCUCCCCCGCGCCGAGGACUCCCGUCCGCCGCGCCGGCGCCGGGACACCCAAGAAGAGCCCCGCCCUGGCCGCGCCCACCACCGACGCCAAGGACAGGCUCAUCGCGUCCAAGGACCACCAACAUCGGUUCGGCGGCAGCUCGAAGAAGGCGGCUGUGCAGGAGCGCGCGCGGCCGGCGUCGUCGUGGGAGCAGUUGAAGAGCCUGCUGAGCUGCCGGAGCACGACGGUGGCCGCGGCGUGCACGACCAGGCGGCCCCGGCGCCGGGGACUACUGGGGGACGUUGCUCUGCUCCAUGUUCUACGUGGCGACCGGCCGACCGUCGACGGCGCCUCCUACGCCGCGUCCGUCGUCGUCGACCGCCCCGGUCAACCGCUCCUCCCACCGCGCCCACCACUCGUCGUCAUCCGCCGGGCGGUGGCGGCAAGCACCCGUCCUCCCUUCGUGGACUCUCCGGCUGCUACGAGUGCCGCGCCAUCAACGUCGAGCCCGUGUCAAGGAGGUACCCUCGGCCGAGGGAGCUGUGCCCGUGAGGUGUUCACCAAGGCCGAGAGCUUGAAGCAGCACCAAGCCGUUCGCCAUGCUGGUAAAUUCUCGAAACCCCGAACCCCGCCUGCAUCGAUCGAUACCAUCCUGUAGUAUUAUCACGACAAUUUAACCUGUCACAAUGAUGAGAAAGGAGAGCCUGACAGGUUAAGGUUUGGGAUACCACGCCGGUAAAUCAAACUAAUCUAUCACCUUAACCGGUCAAAGACAUACCAUCCUGUCACAAUGACUCUGUAGACAUUGCCUUUGUCGUUGCGUGCAACAUUAACAGCUAUAUAAUAUGUGGCAGGAAACUAUGUGAUACAUAUCAUGAGAAACGGGAGUUUGUAGUUGCCGUGGUUCUGAAGAUGUAGUUUCAGAAUGUAGUUAUUUUGUGUCCAUCAAGAUUGCUGCUGUUACAUGUAAUUGUCAUGUGAAAUAUGUUGCAGGGUACCUUCACAAGACAACCUUGCAGUCUGAAGACAUAAUCCAGAAAAUCAACACAUAUUCUUGGAGCUUGGAUGAUGAGGCUGAGUAUCAUGCAUUGAUGCUAUGUUUCAUCUAUGUGUGAUAAUGGAGUACCUCUUAGUAGUUUGCCUUCGGUAGGCAGGUGUUUUUUGUCUAAGUUCAAGCCUUCAUUGUGAAGUAUUUAUAAUUUCCAGCUUAUAAAUUUGUACGUUCACACCUUCCCAAGACCACAAUCAGACUAAGAAGAUGCCUAAAUAAGCUGUGAGGCUGCGUAUAUAUAAGUGUUUCUGUAAACCGAUCUAAAUCAUUCUACUAUCCGUACAACUAUCUUCAAUACAAUUGGCAUUGCAUUAUAUUUCUAGCUACAUCUCCUACUUACUCAGUACUAACAUCACUUCUAACUGGCGUCACGGUCGAGUGGAAGGGUGUCCCUGGUGACGUCACGGACAAGCCAGGAGAAGGACGACGCCCGGGUUUGGCCCCGGGCCUCUGGGGAGUUGGUGAUGGCGUCAUGGUAGACCCGGGCCUCGGGGCAGUUGGGGAAGGUGUCAUGGGGGCCCGAGCCUCCUCCUCGGACAAGGCUGCGACGAUCUGAGCUCCGGUCGAGGCGACACUCCCUCGCUCGGCUGUGCGUUCGCCCGGCCAGUGUGGUGCAGCAGCAGUAGCGACCACCACUGCCAAGGAGCUCCAGCAAGCAUGUGCACAUGCUCUCCUUGCCCCUGAGCUCCUGCAACAACAACAUCAACAACAACGUGUGGUUGUUUGGUUCCACUUGCUGUGUUCAACAGAAACUGACAUCCAACACUGCUAUUCUAAGGUGGUUUAAUGAGGAACAGGAGGAAAUUGUUGUAGAACUGGGAUUAAAGCAUGUAAGAGUGUUGAUGGAUGCGACUCGGAGCAGGCCUCGGCUUGCACCUAAUGUGUGGGCAUAUGCAACUGAAGUUGAUGAAGCAAAGCUGAUGCAAGAUCAGAUGAUUCUGAAGCAGCGGCAGGUGCAGAGGCUCAUUCGAGGAGCGCCAGUAGGCGACCGAUGCGUUGCUCUCCCGUCGUUCUUUCUUCGUCAGGAAAGGCGCAGCCUGCUACUCAAGCCCCUCUCCUUCGCUCCUUGCAGAGCAGGAGAGGCAUGGGCGCCACCACACUCGGGAGACGAGGACGAGGUGGCCGCCGCUGCACCCCCACGCCGUGGACGCGAAGAGACCCAUCCUCUCUGCCCUCGAUAACCACUUCGGCGGCAGCAGCAAUGGCCUCUUCGUGGCAGGGCAGACCGCAGGGUCGUCUUCCUCUCCGGCCUCUUCCACACCAUCAGAUUCAGGCCCUCUCCCUCUGCAUCUCUGUAAAAAUAUGUGUCAGGGUGUUCAAAAUUUUCUUCUUCUAGGAAUGAUUGAGUUCACUCUUCUUCCUGAGCCGUUGGCUGUUGGCCGUGUGGAAGGUACCUUCCUUUUCCUUGUUUGCAUCUAUGAUUUUAUAGCAUUCAGACCAUGGUUCCCUUUCUAUUACUUUGGUUGAUAGUAUUAUAUUUAGUGCUAAAGCUGCAGCCUGCUCCCUGCAUACAACCUGUGGGAAACAAAACUGGAACUACUGUGGAUUUUUUCCGAUUGUUUGCUGCCUAGACUCCUAUACGUAGAGGGUGUGCUGCAAAUUUUCAAUUCUAUAACGUUCAGACCAUGGUCCCCUUUCUGUUACUUUGUUAGUGCAUUCAGACUAUGGUAUGUGUUCCAUAAACCGUACAAAAAAUGGAUAGCCUGCCUGAAACUGCGUUCUUUUAAUCGUUCAUUACAAUCAUUGUUCGUCUGGAAGGAUUCAUUAACUUCCUUUUUAAUGGUGUUCUGUAGCAUGUCAGCUACCGGGGGAAUGAGAAUCUGUAGCAUGCCACUACUAUGCUUACCACCAACAAAGCCAAGGUCUCAUCUUUGAAAGAUUAAGGUUACUUUGCAGGGAGAUGAGACCCAUACCGAGACAUGACAAAUGGAUGGAUACAGAGCUAGCUAGGCGCACAACACUAUAAUAAACUUUGCACUGAAACUUUGGUAAUCAACAAUACAUAGAAACAUGUUGGCCCCUCUUCAUUUGUGCCCUUAGUAAAUUCAAAUUUGGUAGUGGCACUGCAUGCCUAAAACUCUCCUGUAGGUUGGUUCAUUGAUUUAGAUUGAUACAAUUGUCCAAGAAGCCAAUUAAUUGAUUUGGAAUCUAUUGUGGUGCAUUAUCUAAGCUUGAAUUGUUAGUGUCGUUUAAAAAUAUCUCUUGCUUUUAAAGUAGUAUUAGUAAAAUGGCUAAAGCGCGCAUGAGAGUCUAAAUCAGUUUAAAUCAUAACAGUCUCUUGUUUUCUUCAAAGAAUUUUCUGGUUGCAUAAAUAAGUCGUGAGGAAGAUUUGGAUGCAAGCACCCAUCUUUCAUGAGAGAGACCUAUGUUGUACAUUUGAAUUCUUCUAUGUUUAUACUCUGCCAAGUUAUCUCAAGCAUAUGAUUUUACUUUGGUACAUGUUGAUUAUAUAACUGGAUGCAUAUGCAUAAAUCAAGGAUAAGCAGCAGAAGGACAAGUUGUAUUUCUCGAGAUGUUCUCUUCUUUAUUUUACAUGUUAAAGCAUGGACCUUCUUGCUCAGGUUUCAGAUUUCUCAACCAUACUUCCAUGCAAAUAUUAAUUCUUGACUCGUUAUUCAGUAACCUCGCACAUGUCCAUUUUCUAUCUAUAUCGUCAGUAUUAAACUUCAUACAUAACUCCUUAUAUUCUUAGGUUUAGAACAUUGCAAAUCAGGGUAGGCGGUGCAUUUGGAAGGUUCAUAUUCUAUUCAAAAGCAUUUCAUCGAUAGUCAAAUGCUUCACAGUAGAAUAUGCUACCUCAUUUUUUAGGUGUCCUAAGGUUCAUAUUUCGUUGCGUUAUCAAAAGCAGCAUGUUUUAUUGUUUUAGUUAGCAUUGCACUAAUCAAAGACCACAAAAAAUACACGUGCGCGCCCUUAAAGAACCGCGCCUAUAUAGAUGUCGCGUACUGAACCAUAGAUAUAUAUAUUCUCCUUGCAUAUACAUUUCUUUCUACUCAAUAUUGUAUGUAGAUGUCCAUCUGUAGAUAAUGUGGCCCAUAGAAUGUGAUAUGUUCUUUUAUCUUGGAACCAAUUUAUGUAGCGAGGCCGACGAUUUGACUAUAACAUUAUUUCUCCUUCGACUGAAUACUGCAUCUUUUUUGCAAUUGUCCCAAAUGUUUUAUAGCUCCUAAGUUGCGUGUCAUUGAAGCCAGUUGGAAAAUAUGAUGUGUCUUAAGAUAAUCAUAACAUAACUGAAUAUAUCAAGCAUGCUAAUGGCAUUAGAUUAACUUUCGAGGAAUAUGACAGGAGACGAUGACCGCUACCAUGAUUUUAUGGCACCUUAGUAGGAGACGAUGACCGCUACCAUGAAUAGGUUUAAAUGUCGCAUGGCUUCCAUUGAACAGAACCAAGAUAGAAAACAACUGUGCAUAAACUUAUAACAUAAACUGUUGCUGCUUUGUUGGUUUUAUCGAGGAUGUUUUCUUCAAGCAUGUGCUAAUCACGCGCUAUUUUCUUUUUUCACUUUCAUUAUUCCUCCGGCUCAAGUGAUAGCCACAUUCUGAAAGGAGCGAGGGUUGACAACCCGAUCUACAACAGCGACGAUCCAGGCCUUCCAAACGCAGUGUACUCAACACAGAAGGCAAGGACGGUUGGUCUUGACGCAACCAUUCACUAUCCAUCAAAGCACCAACUAGACAACCGACUUCCAAGGAAAUCAAUAUCCAUCUACGUGUACGGUAAACUCAAAGAAGCUGAAGAUCGACCGGCAACUGAAGCUCUCAAGUAGUCUUAAGUGAAGUGAAGGAACUUUACCGCAUAAUAGAUACAAACUUCACAGCAAGAUCAACACCCAAAGCCAACAGUUUGAAACAUAUUUUGUCACAGAUAAGAUAUGUUGCUGAUCGUCUUAACGAUACAAUCAAAAGCCGAUAUAUAGAAAACAAACAAAUAUUAUUGGAGCCUGGACGAUGGUAUCGAAGGAAUUUCUGCUCUGAGCAAUGCAGGCCAUGAAGAACAGCAGCUAUAAAGACUUGCCUCAAAGAGAUCAUUCUAAACAUCCAGCAAUACAUCUGUCUAAUGUAGCUCUGCCUAUCUACAUGCUUUGCUCAUAAAAUUAUAAAUGAUCGUUCGUAAGCUUCUUAAAAAACAUGUAUCAUCCGCAACCAUCUAUCUAUCAUCAAUACGUACUUAUUUCCAUAUGUUUCCUUCUGUGUCUAUAUAUUUUGAUGCACACUCUUCCAAUAGUUGGCUUGCUCUCGGCCUUUGCGCCAUGGGCGCAACGGGUCAUCUAGUUGAA
This 5500-nucleotide ribosomal RNA is filed under the name Triticum aestivum (bread wheat). Its description in RNAcentral is "partial small subunit ribosomal RNA". The record is from RNAcentral. Lineage: Eukaryota; Viridiplantae; Streptophyta; Magnoliopsida; Poales; Poaceae.